CAAUAGCGUAUAUUAAAGUUGUUGCGGUUAAAAAGCUCGUAGUUGGAUCUGCGGCCUUGGAGAUCGGUCCCCCACAGGGUGUGAACUGAUUUUCCAGGCCUACCUUGUCGGUUUUCCUCUGGUGCUCUUCAUUGGGUGCCUUUGGUGGCCGACACGUUUACUUUGAAAAAAUUAGAGUGCUCAAAGCAAGCUGACGCUUGAAUACUAGUGCAUGGAAUAAUGGAAUAAGGCCUGUGCUUUAUUUUGUUGGUUUUCGAAGCAGAGGUAAUGAUUAAGAGGAACAGACGGGGGCAUUCGUACUGCUACGUUAGAGGUGAAAUUCUUGGAUCGUAGCAUGACGAACAACUGCGAAAGCAUUUGCCAAGAAUGUUUUCAUUAAUCAAGAACGAUAGUUAGAGGUU
RNAcentral lists this ribosomal RNA (401 nucleotides) under Nematoda sp. MM00778. Its description in RNAcentral is "SSU rRNA". It matches the Rfam family "Eukaryotic small subunit ribosomal RNA", at positions 592 to 998 of the family's 1831-position model. Lineage: Eukaryota; Metazoa; Nematoda. The record is from RNAcentral.